Molecule: transfer RNA, 73 nt
Filed under: Perca flavescens (yellow perch)
Lineage: Eukaryota; Metazoa; Chordata; Actinopteri; Perciformes; Percidae
Rfam family: tRNA
About the family: Transfer RNA (tRNA) molecules are approximately 80 nucleotides in length. Their secondary structure includes four short double-helical elements and three loops (D, anti-codon, and T loops).
Source: Rfam by way of RNAcentral
GCUUGGCUAGCUCAGUCGGUAGAGCAUGAGACUCUUAAUCUCAGGGUUGUGGGUUCAAGCCCAAUGUUGGGAG